This 339-nucleotide unclassified non-coding RNA is filed under the name soil metagenome. Its description in RNAcentral is "partial contains 5.8S ribosomal RNA, internal transcribed spacer 2, and large subunit ribosomal RNA". The stretch from base 1 to 121 matches the Rfam family "5.8S ribosomal RNA", at positions 35 to 154 of the family's 154-position model. The record is from RNAcentral.
GAUGAAGAACGUAGCGAAAUGCGAUAAGUAAUGCGAAUUGCAGAAUUUCCGUGAGUCAUCGAAUCUUUGAACGCACAUUGCGCCCAUUAGUAUUCUAGUGGGCAUGCCUGUUCGAGCGUCAUUUCAACCCUUAAGCCUCUGUUGCUUAGCGUUGGGAGCCUACCUACCCGGUAGAUCCUCAAAGUUAGCUGGCAGGGUCGAGGUUCGCCCUAAGCGUAGUAGUUCUUUCUCGCUUCUGCGGCUGCCUAGGCCAUCGCCACAAGCCUUUUAAACUUCAAUGGUUGACCUCGGAUCAGGUAGGAAUACCCGCUGAACUUAAGCAUAUCAAUAAGCGGAGGA